Molecule: non-coding RNA, 109 nt
Organism: Actinomyces sp.
Lineage: Bacteria; Bacillati; Actinomycetota; Actinomycetes; Actinomycetales; Actinomycetaceae
Source: Rfam
UUUGCCGCCGGACGAGGCGGGCCGCGAGGGUUGGGGAACCCGAUGACCGGUCCGGUUCGAGACCGCCCCGGGUACUAGGGAGCCCGGGCCGGGCGCUCCGGCGAAGGAG